Equus caballus (horse) is the source of this 1647-nucleotide long non-coding RNA. NCBI's taxonomy places the organism in Eukaryota, Metazoa, Chordata, Mammalia, Perissodactyla, Equidae. The record is from Ensembl.
GAUGGGAUUAAGGUUGCUGAUCAGCUGGCCCUGAGCUUGGGAGAGGAUCCAGGUGGGCCUGAUGUAAUCAAAGGGCCCCUAGAAGGGAGGGAGAGAUGCAGGAGAGACUGUCCGAGUGGGAAGAAGGGUGCCAGGAGCCAGGAAAUUCAGGUUUGAAGAAAAAAAUGCUCUUCGGUGUAGCUUUGAUCUGAAUUCUACCUUGGAUAAAUGAGGUCAUGUAUUUCUAUGUGCUGUAUCUAAAUUGAAAAAGAAGUAAAACUGUCAUAAGAUAACAUGAUCAUCUAUGUUGAAAAUUCAAUGGAAUCUACAAAAAAUACUGUAAGAACUAACAAGUGUGUUUAGUGAGGCUGCAGGAUAUAAAAUCAACAUACAAAAAUAAAUCAUAUUAAAAUGCAACAGCAACAGACAAUUGGAAAUCAAAAUUAAACAAUCAGCACCGUUUAUGAUAGCCUUAAAGAAUCUCAAAUACUUAGGACUAAAUCUGAUGAAGUAUGUAUAUGACCCGAACACUGAAAACCACAAAACAUUGUUGAAGAAGACCUAAAUAAAGAGAAAGUUAUACUGUCUGCAUUGAUUAGAAACCUGAAUAGGGCAAGCCCCGGUGGCCUAGUGGUUAAGUUCGGCACGCUCCGCUUCUGCAGCCCAGGUCCAGUUCCUGGGUGUGGACCUACACCGCUCAUCUCUUAGUGGUCACGCUGUGGUGGCAGCUCACCUACAAAAAGAGGAAGCCUGGCAGUAGAUGUUAGCUCACUGUGAAUCUUCCUCAACAAAAGAAAAGAAAAAGAAAAAGAAAACCAAAUAGAAGAAAGGUGUUAAUUCUCUCCAGAUUUGGUAUAUAGAUUCAGUGUAAUUCCAACCAAAAUCCCAGGAGGAUUUCUUGUAGAACUUGAAAAGCUAAUUUUAAAAUUCAUAACAAAAUUCAAAGGACCUAGAAUAGCUAAUACAAUUUUUGAAUGUAAGAAUGAUACAAUACUAACGUUAUCAGAUUUCAAUCAGUAUUUCUUUUUUCUAUUCUCCUUUUCUCUCUUCUGUUUUUGUAUAUAUUUUAUACAUCUUGAAGUUGUCCAUCAGCUCAAUAAUCCCCUGAUCAAUUUUUUUUCUUUUUUAUGUAUACGUUUCAUUUUAGAUUAAGUCUACUGUUAUGUCUUCAGCUUUAUUACAUUUUCUUCUGUGAUGUCUAAUCUGCAGAUAAUUCCAUCUGGUGUAUUUUUCAUCUCAGGCAUUGUAGUUUUCAUCUCUAGAAGUUCUAUUUGAGUCUAUUUUCUAACUUCCAUGUCUAUACUUGUUCAAUAUUUCCACUGGUUUUUGAACAUAGGGAAUAUAAUUUAAUAACUGUUUUAAUGUCCUUAAUUGCCAAUUCUAACAGCUGUGUCAGUCCCAGGUUGUUUUGGUUAAUUGACUCUUUCUCCCCAUUGUGAUUCAUAUUUUCCUUCUUCUUUGAUGUCUGGUAAUUUGGCUUCAAUGCCAUAUACUUUGAAUUUUAUCUUUGGGUGGUUGGGUAUUUUUGUAUUACUGUAAAUAUUUUUGAGCUUUGUUCUGAUAUGUAGCUAAGUUACUUGGAAACAGUUUGAUCCUUUCAGUUCUUGAUUUUAAAAUGUCUUAGGACUAGAGCAGCAUUUAGACUACAGCUGAUUUUAUUCCAAAAAU